RNAcentral lists this ribosomal RNA (496 nucleotides) under uncultured bacterium. Its description in RNAcentral is "partial 16S ribosomal RNA". It matches the Rfam family "Bacterial small subunit ribosomal RNA", at positions 29 to 507 of the family's 1533-position model. The record is from RNAcentral.
AUGAACGCUGGCGGCGUGCCUAAUACAUGCAAGUCGAGCGAACAGAUGAGGAGCUUGCUCCUCUGACGUUAGCGGCGGACGGGUGAGUAACACGUGGAUAACCUACCUAUAAGGCUGGGAUAACUUCGGGAAACCGGAACUAAUACCGGAUAAUAUAUUUAACCGCAUGGUUCCAUAGUGAAAGACGGUUUUGCUGUCACUUAUAGAUGGAUCCGCGCCGCAUUAGCUAGUUGGUAAGGUAACGGCUUACCAAGGCAACGAUGCGUAGCCGACCUGAGAGGGUGAUCGGCCACACUGGAACUGAGACACGGUCCAGACUCCUACGGGAGGCAGCAGUAGGGAAUCUUCCGCAAUGGGCGAAAGCCUGACGGAGCAACGCCGCGUGAGUGAUGAAGGUCUUCGGAUCGUAAAACUCUGUUAUUAGGGAAGAACAAAUGUGUAAGUAACUAUGCACGUCUUGACGGUACCUAAUCAGAAAGCCACGGCUAACUACGUG